AUUUUAUUUUAAUUUUUUGGAUGAAAUUUUUAUCUAUUAUAUAUUAAACAUUCUUGCUGCUGCGCUGCAAAACCAUAGCAGAUUUGAGGCACUGUUGAGGACUGAAUUAUUCUCCAAGUUGAGAGAUGUCCUUGGGUUAAAUUAAAAGCCCUACCUAAAACUGAGGUGGGGAUGGGGAGAGGCUUUGCCUCCACCAUUCCCACCCCACCCUCCCCUUAAACCCUCUGCCUUUGAAAGCAGGUCAUGUUCACUGCGAUGCUGGACACUACAGGUAUCUGUCCCUGGGCCAGCAGGGACCUCUGAAGCCUUCUUUGUGGCCUUAUUUUUUUUUUUUUUUUUUUCAUCCUGUGGUUUUUCUAACGGACUUUCAGGAAUUUUGUAAUCUCAUAACUUUCCAAGCUCCACCACUUCCUAAAUCUUAAGAACUUUAAUUGACAGUUUCAAUUGAAGGUGCUGUUUGUAGACUUAACACCCAGUGAAAGCCCAGCCAUCAUG
RNAcentral lists this long non-coding RNA (495 nucleotides) under Homo sapiens (human). RNAcentral describes it as "long non-coding RNA NONHSAT251194". The record is from RNAcentral. Lineage: Eukaryota; Metazoa; Chordata; Mammalia; Primates; Hominidae.